This is a long non-coding RNA of Clupea harengus (Atlantic herring), 1201 nucleotides long. Lineage: Eukaryota; Metazoa; Chordata; Actinopteri; Clupeiformes; Clupeidae. The record is from Ensembl.
CAGAGAGAGAGCCAAACGAAGGAUCUACUCGUGGUGCAACCAGAGGAGCCACUGACAUGCUGAGCACAUGCGCUGCUGGCCAUUUCCUGCAGGUGUCUCCUAUGUCACCAGAUUUCUGAGUCCAUGGUAUGAAUGAGGAAGAAAAAGAGGAGGUGGACGAAAGCGGUGGAAGAAAAAUAUGAAACAAAGAAGAAAAAGAAGACGGAUAUAGAAGAUGGAGAAGAAAAAGAAGAAAUGAUGAGACUUGAAAGGAUGAGGAUCGCCAUCAUGUCAGGUCAGCAUCAUGUCAACAUCAUCUGUGCUGUUUGCCCUGCGGAGAGAGAAAAGGAGUGCGGAGGCCAUGGUGGAGGGAUGCCAUCAACACCAGAUUCAUCACUGAAGUCACCUGCAUUAUUCUAUCAACCCCUGAGAGCCUUUAGUUUCUGUACUGACACCAGUUUUCCAUUUUUUCACUCUUUGUUUUUCUGGCAGGUUCACGCCCUUCUGUCUUUUUCUCUGUCUCACUCGCUGUUAUGUUUAUUUGCCUCCGACAUCCCACACUCACACACACUCGCGCACACACACACACACACACACUCGUCUGAUGCUCUGCAGCAGCAUAUGAGCAGGGUAGUUAAACAGGUGCUUAUCUGAAUGAGCCCUGGCUGACCACCUCCCCGUUAGCUGUAAUCUAAUAUAGACGCUAGAUCAUGUGAGCGAGCGUCUGUCUGUUUGUGUGUGUGUGUGUGUGUGUGUUUGUGUGUGUUUGUGAGCAAGGGAGAGCAUGUGCAUGGGAAUGUUUUGUGUGUGUGUGUGUGUGUGUGUGUGUGUGGAAAAGAGAGAAAAUUAGCAUGUGCAUGUUUGGGGUGUGUCUACAUCCUUGUCAAUAUGUGCCCGUGUCUGUGUGUACGUGCGACAGACAGAGAGAGAGUAAAUGAACAUGUGCAUUGGAAUGUUUUGCUUGUAUCUGAGUCCUUGUCAAUAUAUGUGUGUGUGUGUGUGUGUGUGUGUGUGUGUGUGUGUGUGUGUGUGUGUGUGUGUGUGUGUGUGUGUGUGUGUGUGUGUGUGUGUGUGUGUGUGUGUGUGCAUGCCCUCUAAGAAUAACGAGCCUGAGCUUGAGCUGAACUGUUGACCCGGUCAUGACACCAGAGCAUCCUGAGCUUUGCCCUCCCUCUGCCUGACUAAAGCUGCCUUCGGUGGGGAGGGAGAUGCAGAGCUCCUC